GACGUAGGGGGCCAGCGUUGCUCGGAAUUACUGGGUGUAAAGGGUUCGUAGGCGGUGUGGCAAGUCGGGAGUGAAAUCUCUGGGCUCAACCCAGAGUCUGCUUCCGAAACUGCUGUGCUUGAGUGUGGGAGAGGCGCGUGGAAUUGCAGGUGUAGCGGUGAAAUGCGUAGAUAUCUGCAGGAACACCCGUGGCGAAAGCGGCGCGCUGGGCCACUACUGACGCUGAGGAACGAAAGCUAGGGGAGCAAACAGG
RNAcentral lists this ribosomal RNA (253 nucleotides) under uncultured bacterium. Its description in RNAcentral is "partial 16S ribosomal RNA". It matches the Rfam family "Bacterial small subunit ribosomal RNA", at positions 524 to 776 of the family's 1533-position model. The record is from RNAcentral.